UACGUAGGGCGCAAGCGUUGUCCGGAAUUAUUGGGCGUAAAGAGCUCGUAGGCGGUUUGUCGCGUCGGAUGUGAAAGCCCGGGGCUUAACCCCGGGUCUGCAUUCGAUACGGGCAGACUGGAGUGUGGUAGGGGAGAUCGGAAUUCCUGGUGUAGCGGUGAAAUGCGCAGAUAUCAGGAGGAACACCGGUGGCGAAGGCGGGUCUCUGGGCCGGUACCGACGCUGAGGAGCGAAAGCGUGGGGAGCGAACAGG
Molecule: ribosomal RNA, 253 nt
Filed under: uncultured bacterium
Lineage: Bacteria
Description: partial 16S ribosomal RNA
Rfam family: Bacterial small subunit ribosomal RNA
Source: RNAcentral